UUAUUGGAGAGUUUGAUCCUGGCUCAGGACGAACGCUGGCGGCGUGCCUAAUACAUGCAAGUCGAG
RNAcentral lists this ribosomal RNA (66 nucleotides) under Bacillus benzoevorans. RNAcentral's name for it is "Bacterial small subunit ribosomal RNA". It matches the Rfam family "Bacterial small subunit ribosomal RNA", at positions 1 to 66 of the family's 1533-position model. The record is from Rfam by way of RNAcentral. Lineage: Bacteria; Bacillati; Bacillota; Bacilli; Caryophanales; Bacillaceae. RNAcentral also lists the same sequence under 1 other name.